GGUUAAGCGACUAAGCGUACACGGUGGAUGCCCUGGCAGUCAGAGGCGAUGAAGGACGUGCUAAUCUGCGAUAAGCGUCGGUAAGGUGAUAUGAACCGUUAUAACCGGCGAUUUCCGAAUGGGGAAACCCAGUGUGAUUCGUCACACUAUCAUUAACUGAAUCCAUAGGUUAAUGAGGCGAACCGGGGAACUGAAACAUCUAAGUACCCCGAGGAAAAGAAAUCAACCGAGAUUCCCCAGUAGCGGCGAGCGAACGGGGAGGAGCCCAGAGCCUGAAUCAGUGUGUGUGUUAGUGGAAGCGUCUGGAAAGGCGCGCGAUACAGGGUGACAGCCCCGUACACAAAAAUGCACAUGCUGUGAGCUCGAUGAGUAGGGCGGGACACGUGGUAUCCUGUCUGAAUAUGGGGGACCAUCCUCCAAGGCUAAAUACUCCUGACUGACCGAUAGUGAACCAGUACCGUGAGGGAAAGGCGAAAAGAACCCCGGCGAGGGAGUGAAAAAGAACCUGAAACCGUGUACGUACAAGCAGUGGGAGCACAGAGCAAUCGUGUGACUGCGUACCUUUUGUAUAAUGGGUCAGCGACUUAUAUUCUGUAGCAAGGUUAACCGAAUAGGGGAGCCGAAGGGAAACCGAGUCUUAACUGGGCGUUAAGUUGCAGGGUAUAGACCCGAAACCCGGUGAUCUAGCCAUGGGCAGGUUGAAGGUUGGGUAACACUAACUGGAGGACCGAACCGACUAAUGUUGAAAAAUUAGCGGAUGACUUGUGGCUGGGGGUGAAAGGCCAAUCAAACCGGGAGAUAGCUGGUUCUCCCCGAAAGCUAUUUAGGUAGCGCCUCGUGAAUUCAUCUCCGGGGGUAGAGCACUGUUUCGGCAAGGGGGUCAUCCCGACUUACCAACCCGAUGCAAACUGCGAAUACCGGAGAAUGUUAUCACGGGAGACACACGGCGGGUGCUAACGUCCGUCGUGAAGAGGGAAACAACCCAGACCGCCAGCUAAGGUCCCAAAGUCAUGGUUAAGUGGGAAACGAUGUGGGAAGGCCCAGACAGCCAGGAUGUUGGCUUAGAAGCAGCCAUCAUUUAAAGAAAGCGUAAUAGCUCACUGGUCGAGUCGGCCUGCGCGGAAGAUGUAACGGGGCUAAACCAUGCACCGAAGCUGCGGCAGCGACGCUUAUGCGUUGUUGGGUAGGGGAGCGUUCUGUAAGCCUGCGAAGGUGUGCUGUGAGGCAUGCUGGAGGUAUCAGAAGUGCGAAUGCUGACAUAAGUAACGAUAAAGCGGGUGAAAAGCCCGCUCGCCGGAAGACCAAGGGUUCCUGUCCAACGUUAAUCGGGGCAGGGUGAGUCGACCCCUAAGGCGAGGCCGAAAGGCGUAGUCGAUGGGAAACAGGUUAAUAUUCCUGUACUUGGUGUUACUGCGAAGGGGGGACGGAGAAGGCUAUGUUGGCCGGGCGACGGUUGUCCCGGUUUAAGCGUGUAGGCUGGUUUUCCAGGCAAAUCCGGAAAAUCAAGGCUGAGGCGUGAUGACGAGGCACUACGGUGCUGAAGCAACAAAUGCCCUGCUUCCAGGAAAAGCCUCUAAGCAUCAGGUAACAUCAAAUCGUACCCCAAACCGACACAGGUGGUCAGGUAGAGAAUACCAAGGCGCUUGAGAGAACUCGGGUGAAGGAACUAGGCAAAAUGGUGCCGUAACUUCGGGAGAAGGCACGCUGAUAUGUAGGUGAAGUCCCUCGCGGAUGGAGCUGAAAUCAGUCGAAGAUACCAGCUGGCUGCAACUGUUUAUUAAAAACACAGCACUGUGCAAACACGAAAGUGGACGUAUACGGUGUGACGCCUGCCCGGUGCCGGAAGGUUAAUUGAUGGGGUUAGCGCAAGCGAAGCUCUUGAUCGAAGCCCCGGUAAACGGCGGCCGUAACUAUAACGGUCCUAAGGUAGCGAAAUUCCUUGUCGGGUAAGUUCCGACCUGCACGAAUGGCGUAAUGAUGGCCAGGCUGUCUCCACCCGAGACUCAGUGAAAUUGAACUCGCUGUGAAGAUGCAGUGUACCCGCGGCAAGACGGAAAGACCCCGUGAACCUUUACUAUAGCUUGACACUGAACAUUGAGCCUUGAUGUGUAGGAUAGGUGGGAGGCUUUGAAGUGUGGACGCCAGUCUGCAUGGAGCCGACCUUGAAAUACCACCCUUUAAUGUUUGAUGUUCUAACGUGGACCCGUAAUCCGGGUUGCGGACAGUGUCUGGUGGGUAGUUUGACUGGGGCGGUCUCCUCCUAAAGAGUAACGGAGGAGCACGAAGGUUGGCUAAUCCUGGUCGGACAUCAGGAGGUUAGUGCAAUGGCAUAAGCCAGCUUGACUGCGAGCGUGACGGCGCGAGCAGGUGCGAAAGCAGGUCAUAGUGAUCCGGUGGUUCUGAAUGGAAGGGCCAUCGCUCAACGGAUAAAAGGUACUCCGGGGAUAACAGGCUGAUACCGCCCAAGAGUUCAUAUCGACGGCGGUGUUUGGCACCUCGAUGUCGGCUCAUCACAUCCUGGGGCUGAAGUAGGUCCCAAGGGUAUGGCUGUUCGCCAUUUAAAGUGGUACGCGAGCUGGGUUUAGAACGUCGUGAGACAGUUCGGUCCCUAUCUGCCGUGGGCGCUGGAGAACAUUUAAAGUGGUACGCGAGCUGGGUUUAGAACGUCGUGAGACAGUUCGGUCCCUAUCUGCCGUGGGCGCUGGAGAUGAGGGGGGCUGCUCCUAGUACGAGAGGACCGGAGUGGACGCAUCACUGGUGUUCGGGUUGUCAUGCCAAUGGCACUGCCCGGUAGCUAAAUGCGGAAGAGAUAAGUGCUGAAAGCAUCUAAGCACGAAACUUGCCCCGAGAUGAGUUCUCCCUGACUCCUUGAGAGUCCUGAAGGAACGUUGAAGACGACGACGUUGAUAGGCCGGGUGUGUAAGCGCAGCGAUGCGUUGAGCUAACCGGUACUAAUGAACCGUGAGGCUUAACCUU
RNAcentral lists this ribosomal RNA (2976 nucleotides) under Escherichia coli. RNAcentral's name for it is "23S ribosomal RNA". It matches the Rfam family "Bacterial large subunit ribosomal RNA". Lineage: Bacteria; Pseudomonadati; Pseudomonadota; Gammaproteobacteria; Enterobacterales; Enterobacteriaceae. The record is from RNAcentral.